CUCAAGAUACAAUGUUUAACUUAAAAACCAAACAUCACUAUAAAUAAAUUUCCAAGUCUAAUAGAUUGAUCUCACUAAAUAUAAAGGAAAAAAAAAAAAAAAAAGCUGGUACUAAAGAAAUCAUAAUUAGAUGGCCAAAGUACUCAAUGUCGUCAUAUUAAUCCUACUCGUAUUCAUGAUAACUGAGAGCAACGCAGCAGCAUCAGCAUGUCUCAGUUUCAUAGGUGAAGGGCCACCAGUUACGACACUAGCUCCAUGUGUAAACGACGCAUGUAAAACCACAUGUGAAAGCGUCUAUCCAACGUCUUGCUCUGGACGCUGCGAGAGUCAUCAGGGCGGCGUCCAUUGUCACUGUUAUGGUCCAUGAUCAUGACUUGAGAUAACAAAAUAAUUAGGAAUACGAAUAAUCAAAUGUGUAACGAUACAAAAUAAGGAAUGAGAAUAUUCAAUAUAAUAUAUAUAUAUAUAUAUAUUCAUUUUGUUUGCUCCUUUGUAAUUUAUAGUUAAAUUUGAAUUUGUAUAAUGUCUAUCUUUCUUAAUUAUUCUGUAAAGCCAAUCUGAAUCGAAAAAAUAAUAUGAUCAUUUUUACCA
Long non-coding RNA from Camelina sativa (false flax), 591 nucleotides. RefSeq lists it as uncharacterized. The record is from RefSeq and is a predicted model, not a curated record. NCBI's taxonomy places the organism in Eukaryota, Viridiplantae, Streptophyta, Magnoliopsida, Brassicales, Brassicaceae.